CUCAAUUGACCAAGAAGGUGUAGGGCUACGAACCCUUACUUUCUAGGAUGCAACUCCGAGAUUAAUUCUCGUCUUAAUCAACUAUCAACAAACUGUCCUGAGUCUGAAAAAUGGAUAGGAAGAGGGGUGAGAUUAUGAUUACAUAAUCCCAAUGAGUAAAUAGACACCAUCUAAACUAUUGAAAGGCGAGUAAAGGGAGACAAUUAAAAAUAGUUCAUUUCAGUAAAUUUUUCACAACACGAAUAUUCAUUUCAACCAAAUAAUCAAUAUGGCUCGUGAAUUUCUCAAAACUUGGCUCCUACCAAAAUCAUUCUCGCGGGUACCUUCGUCAAGGUAUCCCACUGAGACCGCUAAGGCUGUUAAAUGUACCAUACCCAUAAACAUGUUUUCGCAUCUGACACACAGCCGUUCCUUGACGUUGGCUGAGUCUCACUCUCACGCGGUGGUUAAUGUGAAGUGCACUCAAAAAGCCCACCUCAGGAGAUACCCUACGCGCCUCUAUGACCGAGGUGAGAAUAUAAAAGAGUUUAUUGUGCCCCUCUAAUAGGCUGGUCCACAGAACCCCCCACUACUGCAGUAGCUAAUCUUUAAUCCACCAAUUGAUCAAAUCUCAAUGGCAUAGCAUGGCAAUUACAUUACUAACCAAUUUAUCAAGGCAAAACAGACAGUUCAUAUUUUUCAACACAGGUAUAAAUUCAUCCAAUCAUGCCAAUUUAUCACAAGUCAUUUAAUUCAAAUCAUAAUUUAAAAUAACUCACAUGGUUUCCAAUUACUCAAAUUUUCAAAGCCAUCAUUCAAUUUCAAGACAAUUUUAUGAAAUCAUUUUAUUAAAUCACAUUUUGUUUAUAAAACAUAAAGAUUUACCAUUUAAACUCAUUUUUCAUAAAAUCAUAAAAUCGGAUAAAAACCACUUUAGAUAAUUAAGACGAUAAUAGGUUUACUCACAGUUCUAGGAGUAGAAAUACUCCUAUUUUCAGUCCGCGGGUACAGUCUUUUACCCGUAUCCAAUGGCUUAACACCUAGCCAUAAUCCAUGACACAUAUUCCAAUUAAAUUGUGUCUAACAGUCAUAAGCUAUUUCAGGCUCGAUAUAUAUAUGCAUGAAAUGAAAUGAAAAAUGCACGGGUAGCCACCUAGAUCCGGUAUUGGCCUAAGUCGAUUUUUCAUAUGAUAAAUUGGCCAAUGCGUCCAAUUUCACUCCAACUUGCUCCAUUUCUUUUCCAAUCCCUCAAUUCACCAAGCACAACUAAUUAACACACAAUUAGGCAAAAUUUAUCUUCACUUUUCUUCUUGGAACUUUCGGCCAAUAAUGGUACACUAACUCCGUGAUUUCUCCUACUUAAUUUUCUCUACAUAAUUCAUUAAUUCCUACACCAAAAACUAUUAUUUCUUAAUCAAAUUACCUAGAAUAACAUCCCAUUCUUCCUCAUUAUUCAAUUAGAGAAUUCGGCUAUUGAUGGGUUCCAAACCUUUGGUGGUUUUCUUCACUUGUUUUCAUGCUACACAUCAUUAAUCACCUAAAAACACUAACAUACCUAAAAAUCAAACCAAUCCAAGAUCAUUCUCUCUCCAUACCCAUUUUGACCAGCCAUGAAUUCAUCAUGAAAACAUGUAAUUUAACCACGAAAAAUAAGGAAAAAUGUAUGGGUAAGGUAAAUCACUAGCAAAAUCAAAGAAAAUUUACCUUUGCUUGAUCAAAUCCUUGAAUUCCAACACUUUCUCUUUGAUUUUUCCCACCUAGGGCUUGUUCUUCCUUGGUUUCUCUUCUCUUCUGGUUUGG
This 1779-nucleotide long non-coding RNA is filed under the name Theobroma cacao (cacao). Its description in RNAcentral is "long non-coding RNA (TCAC_LNC005337)". The record is from RNAcentral. Lineage: Eukaryota; Viridiplantae; Streptophyta; Magnoliopsida; Malvales; Malvaceae.